GUGUUCGAGGCAACGCGGCGAUUCUUUGAAAUCGUUGAGGAAAGUCCGGGCAGGCACAGGCUGAAAUGCUUGUAGUGAUUGUGUGUGAGCUAAUAACUCACAGGGGAGUACAGCAGUACUUUCACGGCGGUGAAAUUGGCUCUCGUAGUCGAGAAUAACCCGAAGGUGCCACAGAAACGAUAUGGUCCGGCGACGGGCCAGUGCAAACGGUAAACCCCACAAGCCUGAAACCCAAAUUAUGGUAGGGGAACUCUUUCGAAGGAACUGAACUUAGAAAGAGCAGUAUUCCAAUACUGAGACAGAUGUUGCUUUAGAAACAGAACCCGGCUUAUGAG
This 335-nucleotide RNase P RNA is filed under the name Anaerospora hongkongensis. Its description in RNAcentral is "Bacterial RNase P class B". It matches the Rfam family "Bacterial RNase P class B". From Rfam's summary of the family: Ribonuclease P (RNase P) is a ubiquitous endoribonuclease, found in archaea, bacteria and eukarya as well as chloroplasts and mitochondria. Its best characterised activity is the generation of mature 5'-ends of tRNAs by cleaving the 5'-leader elements of precursor-tRNAs. Cellular RNase Ps are ribonucleoproteins. Lineage: Bacteria; Bacillati; Bacillota; Negativicutes; Selenomonadales; Sporomusaceae. The record is from Rfam by way of RNAcentral.